GUUUUUUCAUUCUCACAAAGUGAAGAUGAUUCAGACAGAAAAAAUAAUACAAAGGGGUUUGAUAGGGCUCGAGCAAAUUGCAAGAACCUUUCGGUGACCUGCCUUCCGCUUCCUCUUUGACGAGGUUGCGGAAUGCUGAAUGCGAUGUAAAACCGCAAACGUUCAAGAAUCACCAGAGACAGAUAUAGUUGCACACAGGGAUUAUCUUCCUGGCUUUUUACACCAAGAAAAUAAGAUUUUGUUAAUGAUCCAACCGCAGGUUCACCUACGGUUA
Molecule: unclassified non-coding RNA, 274 nt
Filed under: uncultured fungus
Lineage: Eukaryota; Fungi
Description: sequence contains ITS1
Source: RNAcentral